RNAcentral lists this ribosomal RNA (373 nucleotides) under uncultured organism. RNAcentral describes it as "bacterial SSU rRNA". It matches the Rfam family "Bacterial small subunit ribosomal RNA", at positions 525 to 896 of the family's 1533-position model. The record is from RNAcentral.
CGAGAGGGGGCAAGCGUUGUUCGGAAUUACUGGGCGUAAAGGGCGCGUAGGCGGCCUGUUAAGUCGAACGUGAAAUCCCCGGGCUCAACCCGGGAACUGCGUCCGAUACUGGCAGGCUUGAAUCCGGGAGAGGGAUGUGGAAUUCCAGGUGUAGCGGUGAAAUGCGUAGAUAUCUGGAGGAACACCGGUGGCGAAGGCGGCAUCCUGGACCGGUAUUGACGCUGAGGCGCGAAAGCCAGGGGAGCAAACGGGAUUAGAUACCCCGGUAGUCCUGGCCCUAAACGAUGAAUGCUUGGUGUGGCGGGUAUCGAUCCCUGCCGUGCCGAAGCUAACGCAUUAAGCAUUCCGCCUGGGGAGUACGGUCGCAAGGCUG